GGCGAUGAUACUUGCACUAUUUCCAGAAUAUCCGCCAUGUAGCAGUGCUGGAUCUUGAUAAGCUGUGGCUAGUCUCUCAUGAAAACUUGCUAUUGUCGGAUCAUUUUGCUCCUCUUUAUCCUUUUUUAGCAAGCUCUGUAGCGCUCAUGGAAAGGCAGAAAAACAAUCAUUAUACAUGUUAGGAAACGACAACUCAAAUAAGGAGCCUAUCGAACUUUAAGAAUUGACAAGACUGCUCAAUGAAAAGAGCAAAUAAUCAUUUUCAUUUUCAUAAAUAUCUCAGGUUCUAUAGCAACGUGGAAUUUAAAAUAUGUGAUAAUAUUCAUAUCUAGAUUAUGCAAUUCGCUCUAUGCAAAAAUAUCACCUCUCUGACUGUUAACAGUUAUAAUGACAUGCUAGCCAAGCACAGUAACCCCAACUAAUCCUCCUUGACUUGCAGGCUUAUCCAUUGGCUUACAUUAAAAUAAGCAAUCAAGUCACUUAGACAUUCAUUAAAUAAUGUACAUUAGAUUGUUCACUAGUAUGCAUCAUCAAUGUAGAGUCACCAGAUGCAAGAGAUACCGCCCUUUAUUAAGUAAGUGCAGCAAUCAGCAACUGUGUUCUAAAUUGCUGCAUAUAUGUUGCUGAGACCAGACCACAGAUGGUUAGCAGUUCUAUUUAUAGUAUGCUUAAAUGCUUCUCAAAAUUCCGCAAGAAUUGCAUGGGAGCUAUGCUUGGAUUCACAAAGUUACCAAAUAGGGCAAUUGUCAUCAAAAAGCUUGGCAAGUUAAUUGAAUUCUCCAAGAACCCCAAAAGGACUAUCAUAUCAACAAUGGCUAAAAGAAAAGAAACAACUUCCGCACUAGUUGCUUAUUUUUUUUUUGAUAACUGAGAAAUCCGUCUGUGACCCACCCUUUGGACCAAUCACAGCCUUCUAAACUCGGUGGAUAAUGGGCCCGCCCCUCUACCCUAGUUGCUUAUUAAUAACUAAUAAGAUAUGCAGAGGAGAAAACUAAGAAUGCAGCUAUAUAAACCACGAGCUACAAAACAAGUAAAGAACAAGGCAGAUGUACCUCGACUGAAUAAGACUUGAACAUAGGUAGGAAACGUCUCCUACAAUAGCUGUUGAACACAAGAG
RNAcentral lists this long non-coding RNA (1117 nucleotides) under Solanum tuberosum (potato). RNAcentral's name for it is "long non-coding RNA (STUB_LNC003275)". Lineage: Eukaryota; Viridiplantae; Streptophyta; Magnoliopsida; Solanales; Solanaceae. The record is from RNAcentral.